This 481-nucleotide ribosomal RNA is filed under the name uncultured bacterium. RNAcentral describes it as "bacterial SSU rRNA". It matches the Rfam family "Bacterial small subunit ribosomal RNA", at positions 30 to 507 of the family's 1533-position model. The record is from RNAcentral.
AUUGAACGCUGGCGGCAUGCUUUACACAUGCAAGUCGAGGGGUAUUUGGACUUCGGUUCAGAGAGACCGGCAAACGGGUGCGGAACACGUACACAACCUACCUUCAACAAGGGGAUAACCCGUUGAAAGACGGACUAAUACCCUAUAACACAGGGGUCCCGCAUGGGAAUAUUUGUUAAAGGACAACCGGUUGAAGAUGGGCAUGCGUUCCAUUAGCUAGUUGGCGGGGUAAGGGCCCACCAAGGCAACGAUGGAUAGGGGAACUGAGAGGUUUAUCCCCCACACUGGUACUGAGACACGGACCAGACUCCUACGGGAGGCAGCAGUGAGGAAUAUUGGUCAAUGGACGCAAGUCUGAACCAGCCACGUCGCGUGAAGGAAGACGGCCCUACGGGUUGUAAACUUCUUUUGCAAGGGAAUAAAGUGGGCCACGUGUGGCCUUUUGCAAGUACCUUGCGAAUAAGGAUCGGCUAACUCCGUG